UAGCUAGUUGGUGGGGUAAAGGCCUACCAAGGCGACGAUCGGUAGCUGGUCUGAGAGGAUGACCAGCCACACUGGAACUGAGACACGGUCCAGACUCCUACGGGAGGCAGCAGUGGGGAAUAUUGGACAAUGGGGGAAACCCUGAUCCAGCAAUGCCGCGUGUGCGAAGAAGGCCUGAGGGUUGUAAAGCACUUUUGUUGGGGGAGAGGGUAUUAUGGUUAAGAGCUGUAAUACUGGACAUUACCCAAAGAAAAAGCACCGGCUAACUCCGUGCCAGCAGCCGCGGUAAUACGGAGGGUGCGAGCGUUAAUCGGAAUUACUGGGCGUAAAGGGUGCGUAGGUGGUUGAAUAAGUUAUCUGUGAAAGCCCUGGGCUCAACCUGGGAAUGCCAGAUAAUACUGUUUAACUUGAGUAUGGGAGAGGGUAGUGGAAUUUCCGGUGUAGCGGUGAAAUGCGUAGAUAUCGGAAGGAACACCGGUGGCGAAGGCGGCUACCUGGCCUAAUACUGACACUGAGGCACGAAAGCGUGGGGAGCAAACAGGAUUAGAUACCCUGGUAGUCCACGCUGUAAACGAUGUCAACUAGCUGUUGGGUAUAUUAAGAUACUUAGUGGCGC
RNAcentral lists this ribosomal RNA (616 nucleotides) under uncultured Legionella sp. Its description in RNAcentral is "bacterial SSU rRNA". It matches the Rfam family "Bacterial small subunit ribosomal RNA", at positions 242 to 849 of the family's 1533-position model. Lineage: Bacteria; Pseudomonadati; Pseudomonadota; Gammaproteobacteria; Legionellales; Legionellaceae. The record is from RNAcentral.